RNAcentral lists this ribosomal RNA (517 nucleotides) under uncultured Pelagibacterales bacterium. RNAcentral describes it as "bacterial SSU rRNA". It matches the Rfam family "Bacterial small subunit ribosomal RNA", at positions 103 to 655 of the family's 1533-position model. Lineage: Bacteria; Pseudomonadati; Pseudomonadota; Alphaproteobacteria; Candidatus Pelagibacterales. The record is from RNAcentral.
CGGGUGAGUAUAAUGUGGGAAUCUGCCUUUUGGUUUGGAAUAACACGGGGAAACCUGUGCUAAUACCGGAUAAGCCCUUACGGGGAAAGUUUUAAUGCCGAAAGAUGAGCCCGCACUUGAUUAGCUAGUUGGUAAGGUAAAAGCUUACCAAGGCAAUGAUCAAUAGCUGUUCUUAGAGGAAGACCAGCCACAUUGGGACUGAGACACGGCCCAGACUCCUACGGGAGGCAGCAGUGGGGAAUCUUGCACAAUGGGGGAAACCCUGAUGCAGCGAUGCCGCGUGAGUGAAGAAGGCCUUUGGGUUGUAAAACUCUUUCGUCGGGGAAGAAAAUGACUGUACCCGAAUAAGAAGGUCCGGCUAACUUCGUGCCAGCAGCCGCGGUAAUACGAAGGGACCUAGCGUAGUUCGGAAUUACUGGGCUUAAAGAGCUCGUAGGUGGUUAAAAAAGUUGAUGGUGAAAUCCCAAGGCUCAACCUUGGAACUGCCAUCAAAACUUUUUAGCUAGAGUGUGAUAGA